UACGUAGGGUGCAAGCGUGGUCCGGAAUUAUUGGGCGUAAAGAGCUCGUAGGCGGUCUGUCGCGUCGGCUGUGAAAACCCGAGGCUCAACCUCGGGCCUGCAGUCGAUACGGGCAAACUAGAGUACUGCAGGGGAGACUGGAAUUCCUGGUGUAGCGGUGAAAUGCGCAGAUAUCAGGAGGAACACCGGUGGCGAAGGCGGGUCUCUGGGCAGUAACUGACGCUGAGGAGCGAAAGCGUGGGGAGCGAACAGG
RNAcentral lists this ribosomal RNA (253 nucleotides) under uncultured bacterium. RNAcentral describes it as "partial 16S ribosomal RNA". It matches the Rfam family "Bacterial small subunit ribosomal RNA", at positions 524 to 776 of the family's 1533-position model. The record is from RNAcentral.